Peniophora sp. CONT is the source of this 93-nucleotide non-coding RNA. NCBI's taxonomy places the organism in Eukaryota, Fungi, Basidiomycota, Agaricomycetes, Russulales, Peniophoraceae. The record is from Rfam.
GGUCCUGUAGUGUAGUGGUUAUCACAGCGGAUUCUGACAGAGGGUCUGAAGACGAGUUUUCCGCUAACCCAGGUUCGAGUCCUGGCAGGACCU